Small nucleolar RNA from Megalops cyprinoides (Indo-Pacific tarpon), 100 nucleotides. RefSeq annotates it as small nucleolar RNA SNORD16. The record is from RefSeq and is a predicted model, not a curated record. The transcript has a single exon. NCBI's taxonomy places the organism in Eukaryota, Metazoa, Chordata, Actinopteri, Elopiformes, Megalopidae.
UGCGGUGAUGGUGUAAUUUGCGUCUGACCUUGUGAACAGCGACAGUUGCCUGCUGUCUCCAUGCUGGCACGAGAGGCUGACGAACAUGAAAUUCUGAGCA